GAUCCUGCCGGAGGAUACUGCUAUCCGAGUUCGACUUAGACAUGCGAGUCGAGAGUCUUCGGGACUCGACGAACUGCUCAGUAAUAUGUAGUUAAUCUACCCUAUACUCAGGGAUAAUUGCGGGAAACUGCAGCUAAUACCUGAUGGAUAUUCUGUUCUGGAAUGAUAGAAUAUCGAAAGGUAACGGUAUAGGAUGAGACUACAUCUUAUCAGCCUGUUGGGGGUGUAAUGGACCUCCAAAGCUAUAACGGGUACGGGCCAUGAGAGUGGAAGCCCGGAGAUGGAUUCUGAGACAUAAAUCCAGGUCCUACGGGACGCAGCAGUUACGAAAACUUCGCAAUGCUCUAAUGAGCGACGAGGGAACUUGGAGUGUUCAUGCUCUGCAUGAACUUUUGCUUACUGCAAAUAGGUAGGCGAAUAAGGGGUGGGUAAUACGAGUGCCAGCCGCCGCGGUAAUACUCGAGCCCCAAGUGGUAUCCGCGAUUAGUGGGUCUAAAGCGUCCGUAGCCGGUUUGAUGAGUCCCUAGUGAAAUCCUUUGGUAAACUGAAGGGCUUGCUGGGGAUACUAUCAGACUUGGGACUGGGAGAGGGUAGAGGUACUCCCGGGGGAAGGGUAAAAUCUUAUAAUCCUGGGGGGACCACCUGUGGCGAAGGCUUUUACCUAGAACAGGUUCGACGGUGAGGGACGAAAGCUAGGGGAGCGAUUGGGAUUAGAUACCCCAGUAGUCCUGGCUGUAAACAAUGCCCGUUUGGUGUUACAAACCUCUCGUGGGUUUGUAGUGCCGGAGCGUAGGUGUUAAACGGGCCACCUGGGGAGUACGUCCGCAAGGAUGAAACUUAAGCGAAUUGGCGGGGGAGCACACAAGGGGUGGAGGCUGCGGUUCAAUUGGAUUCAACGCCGGG
Molecule: ribosomal RNA, 903 nt
Filed under: uncultured archaeon
Lineage: Archaea
Description: bacterial SSU rRNA
Rfam family: Archaeal small subunit ribosomal RNA
Source: RNAcentral